This 250-nucleotide ribosomal RNA is filed under the name uncultured bacterium. Its description in RNAcentral is "partial 16S ribosomal RNA". It matches the Rfam family "Bacterial small subunit ribosomal RNA", at positions 524 to 773 of the family's 1533-position model. The record is from RNAcentral.
UACGUAGGGUCCGAGCGUUGUCCGGAAUUAUUGGGCGUAAAGGGCUCGUAGGCGGUCUGUCGCGUCGGGAGUGAAAACCAGGUGCUUAACACCUGGCCUGCUUUCGAUACGGGCAGACUAGAGGUACUCAGGGGAGAAUGGAAUUCCUGGUGUAGCGGUGAAAUGCGCAGAUAUCAGGAGGAACACCGGUGGCGAAGGCGGUUCUCUGGGAGUAUCCUGACGCUGAGGAGCGAAAGUGUGGGGAGCGAAC